GUUCUCUUUGGUAGCACAUAUAUUAAGAUUGGAAUGAUACAGAGAUUGGCAUGGCUCCUGCACAAGGAUGCCUUUAACUUUUAUAAAUGAUAACAUUUGUGU
Molecule: small nuclear RNA, 102 nt
Organism: Apodemus sylvaticus (European woodmouse)
Lineage: Eukaryota; Metazoa; Chordata; Mammalia; Rodentia; Muridae
Source: RefSeq, a predicted model, not a curated record